GACGAACGCUGGCGGCGUGCUUAACACAUGCCAGUCGAACGGAAAGGCCCUGCUUUUGUGGGUUGCUCGAGUGGCGAACGGGUGAGUAACACGUGAGUAACCUGCCCUUGACUUUGGGAUAACUUCAGGAAACUGGGGCUAAUACCGGAUAGGAGCUCCUGCUGCAUGGUGGGGGUUGGAAAGUUUCGGCGGUUGGGGAUGUACUCGCGGCUUAUCAGCUUGUUGGUGGGGUAGUGGCUUACCAAGGCUUUGACGGGUAGCCGGCCUGAGAGGGUGACCGGCCACAUUGGGACUGAGAUACGGACCAGACUCCUACGGGAGGCAGCAGUGGGGAAUAUUGCACAAUGGGCGGAAGCCUGAUGCAGCAACGCCGCGUGCGGGAUGACGGGCUUCGGGUUGUAAACCGCUUUCGCCUGUGACGAAGCGUGAGUGACGGUAAUGGGUAAAGAAGCACCGGCUAACUACGUG
RNAcentral lists this ribosomal RNA (468 nucleotides) under uncultured bacterium. Its description in RNAcentral is "partial 16S ribosomal RNA". It matches the Rfam family "Bacterial small subunit ribosomal RNA", at positions 28 to 507 of the family's 1533-position model. The record is from RNAcentral.